AUCUUCGGCAAUGGGCGCAAGCCUGACCGAGCGACGCCGCGUGUGCGAUGAAGGCCCUUCGGUUGUAAAGCACUGUCGAGAGGAAGCAAGCCGCAAGGUUGAGCGACCUCUGGAGGAAGCACGGGCUAAGUUCGUGCCAGCAGCCGCGGUAAGACGAACCGUGCGAACGUUGUUCGGAAUCACUGGGCUUAAAGGGCGCGUAGGCGGGAUGGCAAGUCGGAGGUGAAAGCCCCCAGCUUAACUGGGGAAGUGCCCUCGAUACUGCCGUUCUCGAGAGAGGUAGGGGCGUGUGGAACUUCCGGUGGAGCGGUGAAAUGCGUAGAUAUCGGAAGGAACGCCGGUGGCGAAAGCGAUGCGCUGGACCUUUUCUGACGCUGAGGCGCGAAAGCCAGGGUAGCGAACGGGAUUAGAUACCCCGGUAGUCCUGGCCCUAAACGAUGGGUACUGGGUUGCGGGUCAGACAUGGACUCGCAGCCGAAGCAAAAGUGGUAAGUACCCCGCCUGGGGAGUAUGGUCGCAAGGCUGAAACUCAAAGGAA
Molecule: ribosomal RNA, 538 nt
Filed under: uncultured bacterium
Lineage: Bacteria
Description: bacterial SSU rRNA
Rfam family: Bacterial small subunit ribosomal RNA
Source: RNAcentral